AAUAAGUCUACCGGAAGUUAUACCCAUGUUACUUGUUACGCCAACGACAAUUAUCCGCCAUUACUUAGUGGAAAAGUAAGAAAAACGAGCCAAACCCUAAAGAGCAGGUGACUGGUAAAUCCAAAAAUGAUGUCGGAGUCAACGAAGAUGGUCCCCAGGUCGAUGACGCCGGGGUCCGGCUUGCCGCUUCCGGGAGCCCCCGUGCGGACGGCAUGACGAGGACUGCCCUGGGGGGAGCGGAUGUAAGGAAGAAGUGGCGUCGGCUCACAUUUUUGCUGGGGAGGCUGCGGAUUCAAUUAUGUCGCCGUUCUGCCACAAAAAGAGACAAAAAGAGGGAGGAGAUGAACAAGCACCAAGAUAAGAGGAAUGACAAACUGGCCGGCAAUCAACAGCGCACCCAGCAGGUUGUCUCUGCCAUCGUUUCUCAUCUCAUAGAUUGGCACCUGAGCAGAGACGAGGGAGACUUAAUUUGUUUUGCUGGAAAUAGGUCAAACGCUUGUUUUUUUUGUAUGUGCUUUUACCUGUGAACCAGUGAGGAUGAUAGGCUUGCCCAAGUGCUCACACAUGAAGGACAGCGCUGAGGCGGUGUAGGCCAUGGUGUCUGUGCCGUGAAGGAUCACAAAGCCAUCAUAGCUUUCAUAGUUUUUCUGUAAUCAAAUUAAUUACAAAAAUCUAAUGUUAUACAAAAUAUGAAAAACAAAAAAAUUACGUCUACGACAGUAUAUUACAUGUUUUUAUGUUCUACUGUCUUGUACUCAUCUGUUUUUAUGUCAAGUGUGUUUCUUGUUUCUCUCCUUUUGGUCUGUUGGGGACUACAGAUUUAAGGUAGCCUUCUGGCUAAUUCUGGCAUAUUUACACUUUUAAUGUUCAAGAAUAUGCACGAGAGAUGUAACAAUAUUGUAAAUACCGCGGUAUUGCGGUAUCAAAAUUAUCAUAAUAAUGCUGUGAUGAUGUGUAACUGUAUAAAAUGAAAACUUGGGUCGGUGUAGUUUUUUUCUGGCACUGGCCGAUCUGGAAGUAAACUUGAUCUCACAGGGGAAAGCAAGGAUUGUUUUUCGGACAUGUCCUAAAGUUUUCAUCAAAAUCCAUCCAUAACUUUUUGAGUUAUGUUGCUAACAGACAUAUAGACAAACCCUGGCGAAAACACAACCUCUUGCGUACUGCAAAGCAAAGCACACCGCGUGCCUUUGUCUCAAGCGUUUCUAGGACGACACAUAAAGCCGGUCAAAAGUUGUGAUGUUUGACCCACAUUUUUUCAAUAACAUUGAAUCAACUUGUGGUUUAAGUAGAUGUGUUACCCGUGUUUUAAGUAGGAAAUGCGCCGGGCGCCAAUACGGACAACAACAAAAAAGUUGGGUAACACCGCAGUGCGGGGAACAAAAUAUGAGAAGCUACUUAAUAAACCAUCACCCGGAAAAUAUAUUUGAAGCCAGCAAUACGAAGCAUCAAUUUGUGAGGUAUUUACAUUAUUAAACGUUAAGUUGU
Molecule: long non-coding RNA, 1485 nt
Organism: Entelurus aequoreus (snake pipefish)
Lineage: Eukaryota; Metazoa; Chordata; Actinopteri; Syngnathiformes; Syngnathidae
Exons: 4
Source: RefSeq, a predicted model, not a curated record